AACGAACGCUGGCGGCAUGCCUAACACAUGCAAGUCGAACGAGACCUUCGGGUCUAGUGGCGCACGGGUGCGUAACGCGUGGGAACCUGCCCUUAGGUUCGGAAUAACUCCCCGAAAGGGGUGCUAAUACCGGAUAAUGUCUUCGGACCAACGAUUUAUCGCCUUUGGAUGGGCCCGCGUUGGAUUAGCUAGUUGGUAGGGUAAAAGCCUACCAAGGCGACGAUCCAUAGCUGGUCUGAGAGGAUGAUCAGCCACACUGGGACUGAGACACGGCCCAGACUCCUACGGGAGGCAGCAGUGGGGAAUAUUGGACAAUGGGCGAAAGCCUGAUCCAGCAAUGCCGCGUGAGUGAUGAAGGCCUUAGGGUUGUAAAGCUCUUUUACCCGGGAUGAUAAUGACAGUACCGGGAGAAUAAGCUCCGGCUAACUCCGUG
RNAcentral lists this ribosomal RNA (433 nucleotides) under uncultured bacterium. RNAcentral's name for it is "partial 16S ribosomal RNA". It matches the Rfam family "Bacterial small subunit ribosomal RNA", at positions 29 to 507 of the family's 1533-position model. The record is from RNAcentral.